UUUCAUUUAAAAUAUAUCAUAUUUUAUAUUUUAAUAAUUAUAUUUUAAAAAUUAUCAUUUUCCACUUUGUAAAAAAAUAAAAAUGAAUAAUUUCAUUUAGUUCCUUAUGGUAUUUUCAUAAUUAUUUUUAUUUAAAAUAUUUAAAAUAUUAAUAAUUUCAACAGAAUUCUAUAUUUAUAUAUGAUUUUUUCUUAUAAGUUUUUUAAAUAUAGAUAAUUUUAUUUAUGUGUAAUUGAAAUUACUAAUGAAAUUAGAUUUUGGAGAAAUGGAGAUACC
This 276-nucleotide long non-coding RNA is filed under the name Elaeis guineensis (African oil palm). Its description in RNAcentral is "long non-coding RNA (EGUI_LNC034062)". The record is from RNAcentral. Lineage: Eukaryota; Viridiplantae; Streptophyta; Magnoliopsida; Arecales; Arecaceae.